Molecule: ribosomal RNA, 253 nt
Filed under: uncultured bacterium
Lineage: Bacteria
Description: partial 16S ribosomal RNA
Rfam family: Bacterial small subunit ribosomal RNA
Source: RNAcentral
UACAGAGGGUGCGAGCGUUAAUCGGAAUCGCUGGGCGUAAAGGGUGCGUAGGUGGUCAAAUAAGUCAGAUGUGAAAUCCCUGGGCUCAACCUAGGCAUUGCAUUUGGUACUGUUUGGCUAGAGUGCAGUAGAGGAAUGUGGAAUUUCCGGUGUAGCGGUGAAAUGCGUAGAUAUCGGAAGGAACAUCAGUGGCGAAGGCGACAUUCUGGACUGUAACUGACACUGAGGCACGAAAGCGUGGGGAGCGAACAGG